RNAcentral lists this ribosomal RNA (368 nucleotides) under uncultured Eubacteriales bacterium. Its description in RNAcentral is "bacterial SSU rRNA". It matches the Rfam family "Bacterial small subunit ribosomal RNA", at positions 1010 to 1382 of the family's 1533-position model. The record is from RNAcentral. Lineage: Bacteria; Bacillati; Bacillota; Clostridia; Eubacteriales.
UGGCCUUUCGGGGAACCAGGAGACAGGUGCUGCAUGGCUGUCGUCAGCUCGUGUCGUGAGAUGUUGGGUUAAGUCCCGCAACGAGCGCAACUCUUGUCAUUAGUUGCCAGCAGGUUAAGCUGGGCACUCUAGUGAGACUGCCGGGGACAACUCGGAGGAAGGUGGGGAUGACGUCAAAUCAUCAUGCCCCUUAUGUUCUGGGCUACACACGUGCUACAAUGGCCGGUACAGAGAGACGCAAUGUCGCGAGGCGGAGCAAACUCUAAACCGGUCCCAGUUCGGAUUGCAGGCUGAAACUCGCCUGCAUGAAGUCGGAGUUGCUAGUAAUCGCGAAUCAGAAUGUCGCGGUGAAUGCGUUCCCGGGUCUU